UGGCUCAGUAGUUAAGAGCAUUUGUUUUUGCAGAGGAUCUGGGUUCGAUUCCCAG
This 55-nucleotide transfer RNA is filed under the name Rattus norvegicus (Norway rat). It matches the Rfam family "tRNA", at positions 8 to 63 of the family's 71-position model. From Rfam's summary of the family: Transfer RNA (tRNA) molecules are approximately 80 nucleotides in length. Their secondary structure includes four short double-helical elements and three loops (D, anti-codon, and T loops). Further hydrogen bonds mediate the characteristic L-shaped molecular structure. tRNAs have two regions of fundamental functional importance: the anti-codon, which is responsible for specific mRNA codon recognition, and the 3' end, to which the tRNAs corresponding amino acid is attached (by aminoacyl-tRNA synthetases). tRNAs cope with the degeneracy of the genetic code in two manners: having more than one tRNA (with a specific anti-codon) for a particular amino acid; and 'wobble' base-pairing, i.e. permitting non-standard base-pairing at the 3rd anti-codon position. Lineage: Eukaryota; Metazoa; Chordata; Mammalia; Rodentia; Muridae. The record is from Rfam by way of RNAcentral.